Molecule: small nucleolar RNA, 74 nt
Organism: Cyprinodon variegatus (sheepshead minnow)
Lineage: Eukaryota; Metazoa; Chordata; Actinopteri; Cyprinodontiformes; Cyprinodontidae
Source: Ensembl
CUUCUGUGAUGACUAUAUCUUUGUGCCACGUGUCUGGGCCACUGAUUCUUAUGAUGGAUUGAGGAACUGAGAGG